UGCUCCUGGAUGCAGCUGCAUCUCGUCGUUCGUUUGUCUUGCUGUCCUAACGCGCCCCUUUUGUUCUUGUUCUUGACCUGAUUUCGUACGAAGUGCAAUGCCAGUGGGUUACAGAAUAGGCGUCUCGCUUACAUGUGAUUUAAACCUGUAGUUGGCGGUUUAAUUUUGCGACAAAAACUAACAUUACCUGCAGAUUGAUGAUAUGUACAUAAAUUAUUGUUAACACAGCUGUUUUUACGAAUGAAUUGAAAUCAGUUUCUUGUCUUUUCGUUUGCGGACAUCGAUCCUUCUGAAUGUGUCAAGAAAUGAGUGGGGAAGGCAAGUUGGGAGAGGCAAAAGGGAAAGGUAGCCAGCAACCCUCGUACAAUAUAUUGGCAUGAACAAGUGUUGUCAAGAAUCGAAUGUAAACUUUUGGUAAAAUCUC
This 424-nucleotide long non-coding RNA is filed under the name Malus domestica (apple). RNAcentral's name for it is "long non-coding RNA (MDOM_LNC006182)". The record is from RNAcentral. Lineage: Eukaryota; Viridiplantae; Streptophyta; Magnoliopsida; Rosales; Rosaceae.